AGCCGAGCGGUAGAGUAUCUUCGGAUACUUGAGAGCGGCGCACGGGUGCGGAACACGUGUGCAACCUGCCUUUAUCUGGGGGAUAGCCUUUCGAAAGGAAGAUUAAUACCCCAUAAUAUAUUGAGUGGCAUCACUUAAUAUUGAAAACUCCGGUGGAUAGAGAUGGGCACGCGCAAGAUUAGAUAGUUGGUAGGGUAACGGCCUACCAAGUCGAUGAUCUUUAGGGGGCCUGAGAGGGUGAUCCCCCACACUGGUACUGAGACACGGACCAGACUCCUACGGGAGGCAGCAGUGAGGAAUAUUGGACAAUGGGUGAGAGCCUGAUCCAGCCAUCCCGCGUGAAGGAUUAAGGUCCUAUGGAUUGUAAACUUCUUUUGUAUAGGGAUAAACCUACUCUCGUGAGAGUAGCUGAAGGUACUAUACGAAUAAGCACCGGCUAACUCCGUGCCAGCAGCCGCGGUAAUA
RNAcentral lists this ribosomal RNA (465 nucleotides) under uncultured bacterium. RNAcentral describes it as "bacterial SSU rRNA". It matches the Rfam family "Bacterial small subunit ribosomal RNA", at positions 60 to 525 of the family's 1533-position model. The record is from RNAcentral.